CCUACGGGAGGCAGCAGUGAGGAAUAUUGGUCAAUGGACGCAAGUCUGAACCAGCAAUGCCGCGUGCAGGAAGACGGCCCUAUGAGUUGUAAACUGCUUUUGUACGAGGGUAAACGCAGAUACGCGUAUCUGUCUGAAAGUAUCGUACGAAUAAGGAUCGGCUAACUUCGCGCCAGCAGCCGCGGGAAUACGGAGGAUUCAAGCGUUAUCCGGAUUUAUUGGGUUUAAAGGGUGCGUAGGCGGUCGGAUAAGUUAGAGGUGAAAUCCCGAGGCUCAACUUCGGAAUUGCCUCUGAUACUGUGCGGCUAGAGAGUAGUUGCGGUAGGCGGAAUGUAUGGUGUAGCGGUGAAAUGCUUAGAGAUCAUACAGAACACCGAUUGCGAAGGCAGCUUACCAAGCUACUUCUGACGUUGAGGCACGAAAGCGUGGGGAGCAAACAGGAUUAGAUACCCGGGUAGUC
Molecule: ribosomal RNA, 460 nt
Filed under: uncultured bacterium
Lineage: Bacteria
Description: partial 16S ribosomal RNA
Rfam family: Bacterial small subunit ribosomal RNA
Source: RNAcentral